This 585-nucleotide long non-coding RNA is filed under the name Gallus gallus (chicken). Lineage: Eukaryota; Metazoa; Chordata; Aves; Galliformes; Phasianidae. The record is from RNAcentral.
GGAAAAUGAAAGAUAAAUUAAUAAACCAGCAGAGUGAGAGAUGCCCUAUAGAAGAGGAUGUCUGCUUGCAGAGCUGUUGAUCCCCCAGGCAUGUGGUGUGCUGUUGUCCCCACCACGCCUCCAGCACCAGCAAGCAGAAGAUGUCAUCUCCCCACACCUUCCUGAAGAUGGGCAGAGGUCCCUGCUGGAAGCCCCUCUGCUUGGCACGGGGCUGCUCGCUCCUCUGGGCACCACAGUGAUUCCCAAGGCCUUGUCUCAGGGCUUUGCACUCAACCCUUCUUCCGGGGCUGCUUCUCUCUCCGUGUGGUGAGGGAGGACACCUUCCCUGCACAUAGAUGGACGGGACCAUCCUCAGUAGGCUCACACCAUGGCACCUUGCAGGGGAACAGUGAGAUGUCCCAGCACCAGCAGGUGUUUGGAGCAGCAUCAGCAGCCCUGAGCCCUGCUUUGCUCUGUCGGGUGUGGGUGUGUGUCUGCGGGCUCCGAGGGCACCCACCUGCAGGACACCUGUGGAGAUGAGAUCAGGCAGCGCCCCGGGGACGCAGGCCAAGACAGAGCAGUGGUUUCCCAGCGAGGGACUGGAUG